Molecule: transfer RNA, 77 nt
Filed under: Oscillospiraceae bacterium
Lineage: Bacteria; Bacillati; Bacillota; Clostridia; Eubacteriales; Oscillospiraceae
Description: tRNA-Val
Rfam family: tRNA
About the family: Transfer RNA (tRNA) molecules are approximately 80 nucleotides in length. Their secondary structure includes four short double-helical elements and three loops (D, anti-codon, and T loops). Further hydrogen bonds mediate the characteristic L-shaped molecular structure. tRNAs have two regions of fundamental functional importance: the anti-codon, which is responsible for specific mRNA codon recognition, and the 3' end, to which the tRNAs corresponding amino acid is attached (by aminoacyl-tRNA synthetases). tRNAs cope with the degeneracy of the genetic code in two manners: having more than one tRNA (with a specific anti-codon) for a particular amino acid; and 'wobble' base-pairing, i.e. permitting non-standard base-pairing at the 3rd anti-codon position.
Source: RNAcentral
GGAGGCAUAGCUCAGUUGGUUAGAGCACCUGCCUUACAAGCAGGGGGUCACUGGUUCGAGUCCAGUUGUCUCCACCA